RNAcentral lists this transfer RNA (86 nucleotides) under Escherichia coli. Its description in RNAcentral is "tRNA-Tyr". It matches the Rfam family "tRNA". Rfam says of the family: Transfer RNA (tRNA) molecules are approximately 80 nucleotides in length. Their secondary structure includes four short double-helical elements and three loops (D, anti-codon, and T loops). Lineage: Bacteria; Pseudomonadati; Pseudomonadota; Gammaproteobacteria; Enterobacterales; Enterobacteriaceae. The record is from RNAcentral. RNAcentral also lists the same sequence under 4 other names.
GGAACAGUAUGCAAGUGGUUAAAGCAAGCAGUCUGUAAAACUGAUAUCUUCGGAUUUCGUAGGUUCAAAUCCUACCUGUUCCACCA